UCAGCACUCACACUUGCCCAAUGUCAAGCCA
RNAcentral lists this non-coding RNA (31 nucleotides) under Homo sapiens (human). Lineage: Eukaryota; Metazoa; Chordata; Mammalia; Primates; Hominidae. The record is from RNAcentral.